CAAUAGCGUAUAUUAAAGUUGUUGCAGUUAAAAGGCUCGUAGUUGGAUCUGUGGUGUGCGGUGGGCUCCGGGCACUUGUUGUCUGAGUAGCUCGCCGCUGCCAUCCUUGGGUGGAACCUGUGUGGCAUUAGGUUGUCGUGCAGGGGAUGCCCAUCGUUUACUGUGAAAAAAUUAGAGUGUUCAAAGCAGGCUUAUGCCGUUGAAUAUAUUAGCAUGGAAUAAUGAGAUAGGACUUUUUCGCUAUUUUGUUGGUUUGCGCGAAGAGGUAAUGAUUAAUAGGGACAGUUGGGGGUAUUCGUAUUCCAUUGUCAGAGGUGAAAUUCUUGGAUUUUUGGAAGACGAGCUACUGCGAAAGCAUUUACCAAGGAUGUUUUCAUUAA
RNAcentral lists this ribosomal RNA (380 nucleotides) under uncultured eukaryote. RNAcentral's name for it is "partial 18S ribosomal RNA". It matches the Rfam family "Eukaryotic small subunit ribosomal RNA", at positions 592 to 976 of the family's 1831-position model. The record is from RNAcentral.